Molecule: ribosomal RNA, 421 nt
Filed under: uncultured Bacteroidota bacterium
Lineage: Bacteria; Pseudomonadati; Bacteroidota
Description: bacterial SSU rRNA
Rfam family: Bacterial small subunit ribosomal RNA
Source: RNAcentral
AAGGAAUAUUGGUCAAUGGGCGCAAGCCUGAACCAGCCAUGCCGCGUGCAGGAAGACGGCCCUAUGGGUUGUAAACUGCUUUUGUCAGGGAAUAAACCCCCGUACGUGUACGGGGCUGAAGGUACCUGAAGAAUAAGCAUCGGCUAACUCCGUGCCAGCAGCCGCGGUAAUACGGAGGAUGCAAGCGUUAUCCGGAUUCAUUGGGUUUAAAGGGUGCGCAGGCGGAUUGAUAAGUCAGGGGUGAAAUCCCACAGCUCAACUGUGGAACUGCCUUUGAUACUGUUAGUCUUGAGUAUAGUUGAAGUGGGCGGAAUGUGUCAUGUAGCGGUGAAAUGCUUAGAUAUGACACAGAACACCGAUCGCGAAGGCAGCUCGCUAAGCUAUAACUGACGCUCAUGCACGAAAGCGUGGGGAUCAAACA